CGGAACAACUCGGCGAAAGCUGAGCUAAUACCGUAUGUGUCCUUCGGGAGAAAGAUUUAUCGCCAAAGGAUGUGCCCGCGUCGGAUUAGCUAGUUGGUGGGUAACGGCCCACCAAGGCGACGAUCCGUAGCUGGUCUGAGAGGAUGAUCAGCCACACUGGGACUGAGACACGGCCCAGACUCCUACGGGAGGCAGCAGUGGGAAUAUUGGACAAUGGGGGCAACCCUGAUCCAGCCAUGCCGCGUGAGUGAUGAAGGCCUUAGGGUUGUAAAGCUCUUUCGCCCGCGAAGAUAAUGACUGUAGCGGGAGAAGAAGCCCCGGCUAACUUCGUGCCAGCAGCCGCGGUAAUACGAAGGGGGCUAGCGUUGUUCGGAAUCACUGGGCGUAAAGCGUACGUAGGCGGGCAAUUAAGUCAGGGGUGAAAGCCUUGAGCUCAACUCAAGAACUGCCUUUGAUACUGGUUGCCUGGAGUCCGGGAGAGGUGAGUGGAACUGCUAGUGUAGAGGUG
Molecule: ribosomal RNA, 508 nt
Filed under: uncultured bacterium
Lineage: Bacteria
Description: bacterial SSU rRNA
Rfam family: Bacterial small subunit ribosomal RNA
Source: RNAcentral